Non-coding RNA from Paramisgurnus dabryanus, 446 nucleotides. NCBI's taxonomy places the organism in Eukaryota, Metazoa, Chordata, Actinopteri, Cypriniformes, Cobitidae. The record is from RefSeq and is a predicted model, not a curated record.
AGACACAUUUUUGCCAGAUAUACUUGGUAAAUGGCUGUGGUAAAUGUACUUUGGGGCCCGCCCAAGUAAAGUCAAUGUGUGGGAAACACUGCUUUGUGCAUUUCAUUGUCAUCGCUCUGUCAUUGUGUCAGUACAAGAUGCUCCAGACCAAAUCAACAGCUCUUCUCCUCACACAGGAGUCAAUGUUAAGAUGAAAGCUGACAGAAGUGCAACUGUACUUGUCCCUGUACUUAACAACAGCUACAUAGGAUCAUUAUACAUCAACAAUGUGCAAACUGUGCAGAGCAACAAGAGUCCUCAAAGACAGCAGCAAAACAUACUGUAAAACAAGUGGAUUUAGAGCAUUUUUGUCACAAAGUCACAAAGCCAACAUGAAAGACAAAGUACAGCGCAUUUUUUAUGUCAAAAAGGAAGAAGAAACAUAUCUGAAGGAUGUUUAAACAGAG